Molecule: long non-coding RNA, 255 nt
Filed under: Elaeis guineensis (African oil palm)
Lineage: Eukaryota; Viridiplantae; Streptophyta; Magnoliopsida; Arecales; Arecaceae
Description: long non-coding RNA (EGUI_LNC024062)
Source: RNAcentral
AUGUAUAUACAGGACUUACAAAAAUUUUAGUAUGGUUAGUUUAUCGGGGUUCAUUAUAAAUCCUAGUCUAGCUAGAAUUAUAUUCCAAUUAUUUUUUAUUUGAAUAUUAUCCUGGUUACUUAUUCUUGUAUUAUUCUUAGUCUUCUUUUCUAAUAUUAUUCUAUUUGGAGUAAGAUGGACUUCAUUUCGAGUUAGGAGAGCCCUGGACAUGAAGUAGGACCAGUUGAGUUACGGCAACGAGCAAUGCUACAAUAG